UCGCCUGUUUAUCAAAAACAUAGCCUAAAGCAAUUAUUUUAGGUGAAAUCUGCUCAGUGUAUCUAAAAUCUUAAUAAAUAGCCGCGGUACUUUGACCGUGCUAAGGUAGCAUAAUAAGUUGGCUUUUAAAUGGAGUCGGGAAUGAAUGAAACAACGUAGCUAAGCUGUCUCAGAAUUAUUUUAUCGAAUUUACUGUAUAGAUGAAAAAGUCUAUAAAUCCAAAAAAGACGAGAAGACCCUUAGAAUUUAAAUAAAACCGAAUAGUUUUUCGUAAUAUUUUUGUUGGGGCGACAAGAAGACAAUUAACUUUAACUCUUCUGAUAAUAUAAGACGAUUAGUAAUAAGGUCGGAUAAAUUACCUGAGGGAUAACAGCAUAAUUUUAUGAUUAAGUUUGUGACCUCGAUGUUGGACUAGGAAAUUAAUAGACUAGCCGUUUAUUAUAUUGGUUCUGUUCGAACUGUUUUUCCUACAUGAUCUGAG
This 481-nucleotide ribosomal RNA is filed under the name Pleurehdera stellata. RNAcentral's name for it is "partial large subunit ribosomal RNA". It matches the Rfam family "Bacterial large subunit ribosomal RNA", at positions 1796 to 2609 of the family's 2925-position model. Lineage: Eukaryota; Metazoa; Mollusca; Gastropoda; Pleurobranchida; Pleurobranchidae. The record is from RNAcentral.